UCAACGUUGAAGUGCUAGUCUAAGCGCUUACCUUUUCUUCUUCUUUCGGACGAGCAUGCGAACCGCUUGUUUCUCCAAUGCAUCCAUAGAAGCGUCGACGCCAAAAAAGAUAACGCUUGAUUGAACACUGAACCAGCUAGCUACCUCACUCUAGAUGUCUCCUUCGAAAUCUCCACACCCUUCCCCAUCCCACCAUCCCUCGAUAGAUCUGGCGAGCCAUGGCGAACGGCGGUGCGUAGACGGAGGAAGCAACAUCCUGCGUCCACAUCAUGGGGACAACGUCGGUCAAGCGGCGAGGCUGGGGAUGGGAAGAGAGCGCACACAGGUGGAGGCGGCGGCAGGGGCGCCUACUCACAAGUGGACGAUGUCGGAGGAACUCGCGACGAGGCAGGAGGACAGGGAAAAGGAGAGGCAGCGGCGCGCAAGCUCGAGGCGUACAAGAUGGACAAGCUCGCCGGUAUCGUUAUCAAGUACGACGUGUAGGUAAUCUGCAUGUCCCUCGCUCUAACAAUCUCCAGGGAAUCAGUUUGGCUGCUGCUGAGGUGCACGCGAAAACAGCGGCGAUAUGUUUGUGCCUUUUUUUCUCGAAUUGAUAUUGAUACAACAAUAGUUCUAUGAAGGAAAUUUUUGGUCUCGCAGCAGAACAAGCGAUGGUGAUCUGAAGUUUUUGUAUGUUCCAAAAUGACUGAUUUUUAACCUUAGAUAGUAACAAAAAUAAAUUUGAGACCACACCUCGGAAUUAGGAUAGAAAUUUCUAUCUAUUAUUGCAGUGAUAAUUUCACAAUUGCACACUUGAUGCAAAUAUACACAAACAAGAUAAUUAAUCAAAAAUAUCCCACUUACAGUUUAUGGCAUCAUUAGGAAAAUAGAACCUCCUUUUUAUUAUAACAAAACUGAACUUUGACACACUAGUCCUACAGUCCUAAUUUGACUUGACCGCACAUAUUCCACUAGGGACAAUUUCGUACAGACAUCCACAAGUUAAGAAAUUUGAAUGGUCGAUUCGUUUCUAACUUAUACAUUUGAAAAGAUUUGGAAAUCAAGUCCUGGUUCGAUUGUCCAGUAGCUGCGAAUGCAUCAUUGACCCUGCGCCACAUGCCAUCGAAUAGCAGAAUUUCAGAGUUCAUUUUACUCCAAUGACGUUUGAUUUCGAUAGGUUGUCUUUUGCGAUUAUUGGCAAUAUUUGCGUUAAAUUCUUCAGCGACUUGAAACCAGUAAUCCUGGGCACCGUUUUCAUUGCCAACAACAAAAUCAGUGGGAACAUUUAACCAAGCAUUUACCUGCUCAAUUCAUAAAAUGUUGUUAGGCCAACCUUUCCAUGAUAUAGUAACUAUCUAUCUAUCUAUCUAUCUACUAUCCUAUAAAAGCACGAAAGGGCGGAGAACCAAAUCAUCUCAACCAUCAAACCAUGCUGAUCUGAUGGUCCAAAUCGGCUUGUGGCAUCAAACAUGUUUAACACUGUAAUUACCCAUCACUGCCAUUGGUUAUAACCAUGUUUGUUUAGCUCCUACAGAAAAAAGGCCUCCGGAUCCCCUCUCCAUCGUCACGCCCGCCCACGAUCUCCUAUUACUCUCGCAAACCAUCAGGUAGUUUCGCCCCCACCAGCCCCUUCCCGCACCACCACCCUUCUCUCCCGCUUGCGUGGUCUUUGCCCCGCCCAAACCUCCCACAUGGUCUUCAUGCUCAUGGCUGCCGCCUGGCCCGCCUCUGGAAACCGGCACCAUCACGCGGCCAAAUCUUCGGCUCCAUCCCCUGCAUCGCUGCCUUGCUUUGCUCCAAGAACGGCGGCCCCAUGUCCCUGCUAGCGUCCAUGACUCAACACCCUACACCCUGUCACCGGAGUAGGAGAAGACUUGCUCGAACAUGGCAAUCCCGGGCCUGUGCCUGCACUCUACACCACCCCUCUGCUCCGGUCACUUCAGCAAGCGACGCCACCGACGGAACCGAGCAGGGGCUUCUCCAUCGCGCUGACAAAAGAGAGGUGAUCGUCGAGGAGUUCUUCUGACGCGCUGCACGUAGAAACAAAUCAAUUUUUCAGAAUCAUGAAAAAAAUUAACGCUUUGUCUGUUCAAUCCAAGUCGGGACGCGAGCCGCCAUGCCGCCCGUGCAUGUGGACUGCGCACCGCGAUCAGCCGCCUCUGAGCCUCGUGUAGCGCGCCGUUGUCAUCAGCGGCGGCGCCAGGUGAUCCCGACGGGAGUGGGAGGAUCUACAGCGUCCGUCCUCACUGUUCUUGGUGCUUCUCUGGCGCUGAGUGUGGUCCUGUCCUGCGCGCUGUUUUACAUCGUCGGCCAGAAAAGCGAGUCUGGUCCGUCCGGGGAGAAGCAGGAAAACCUACAGGCCAGAAAAACGAGCAUACAACUUGUGAUGCAAUUUUGAGGUCUGUAGGUUUACGUGGUUCUGAUCUGAUUGUUGCAUUUUUCGUUCUGUUUCUAUUCUUCAGUGAAAGAUCUAAAUGUAAUCUUCUAUAUGUCCUUCAUGUUUUGUCCGACACAGCCUUGUUAGUAUAAUUGUUACGCCGUGUUGUGCCAUGGUGAUUUGUCUAUAACUGAAUUCAAAAUGAUCUCAAAGUUGGCAUGUGCGAGUGCCUGCGAUA
This is a long non-coding RNA of Triticum urartu, 2594 nucleotides long. RefSeq lists it as uncharacterized. The record is from RefSeq and is a predicted model, not a curated record. Lineage: Eukaryota; Viridiplantae; Streptophyta; Magnoliopsida; Poales; Poaceae.